This 497-nucleotide ribosomal RNA is filed under the name uncultured bacterium. RNAcentral describes it as "partial 16S ribosomal RNA". It matches the Rfam family "Bacterial small subunit ribosomal RNA", at positions 28 to 507 of the family's 1533-position model. The record is from RNAcentral.
GAUGAACGCUGGCGGCGUGCCUAAUACAUGCAAGUCGAACGAACGGACGAGAAGCUUGCUUUUCUGAUGUUAGCGGCGGACGGGUGAGUAACACGUGGAUAACCUACCUAUAAGACUGGGAUAACUUCGGGAAACCGGAGCUAAUACCGGAUAAUAUUUUGAACCGCAUGGUUCAAAAGUGAAAGACGGUCUUGCUGUCACUUAUAGAUGGAUCCGCGCUGCAUUAGCUAGUUGGUAAGGUAACGGCUUACCAAGGCAACGAUGCAUAGCCGACCUGAGAGGGUGAUCGGCCACACUGGAACUGAGACACGGUCCAGACUCCUACGGGAGGCAGCAGUAGGGAAUCUUCCGCAAUGGGCGAAAGCCUGACGGAGCAACGCCGCGUGAGUGAUGAAGGUCUUCGGAUCGUAAAACUCUGUUAUUAGGGAAGAACAUGUGUGUAAGUAACUGUGCACAUCUUGACGGUACCUAAUCAGAAAGCCACGGCUAACUACGUG